RNAcentral lists this ribosomal RNA (505 nucleotides) under Naja sputatrix. Its description in RNAcentral is "partial 16S ribosomal RNA". It matches the Rfam family "Bacterial large subunit ribosomal RNA", at positions 1831 to 2593 of the family's 2925-position model. Lineage: Eukaryota; Metazoa; Chordata; Lepidosauria; Squamata; Elapidae. The record is from RNAcentral.
CUCAAAAACGAAGUAUAUAGGGCUACGCUGGCUCCAGAUGCACAAUUCUGACGGCCGCGGUACCCUAACCGUGCAAAGGUAGCACAAUCACUUGUCUAUUAAUUGUAGACCUGUAUGAAAGGCAAAACGAGGGCCUAUCUGUCUCUUGUAGUAAGUCAAUUAAACUGAUCCCCCAGUCCAAAAGCUGGGAUACCAACAUAAGACCAGAAGACCCUGUGAAGCUUAAACUAAACUAUUAAAUCUCAUAAUAGCUCCUUUCGGUUGGGGCGACCUUGGAAAAAAAAAGAACUUCCAAACACACUGACUUUACAGUCACCCACCCAGGCCAACAAGCCUAACAACGACCCAGCACAGCUGACAACUGAACCAAGUUACUCCAGGGAUAACAGCGCUAUCUUCUUCAAGAGCCCAUAUCAAAAAGAAGGUUUACGACCUCGAUGUUGGAUCAGGACGAUCCUAAUGCGUGCAUGCCGCUAUUAAGGGUUCGUUUGUUCAACAGAGUAAC